UACGAAGGGUGCAAGCGUUACUCGGAAUCACUGGGCGUAAAGCGUGCGUAGGCGGUUCGUUAAGUCUGCUGUGAAAGCCCUGGGCUCAACCUGGGAACUGCAGUGGAUACUGGCGAGCUAGAGUGUGAUAGAGGAUGGUGGAAUUCCCGGUGUAGCGGUGAAAUGCGUAGAGAUCGGGAGGAACACCGGUGGCGAAGGCGGUUCUCUGGGCCUUACCUGACGCUGAGGAGCGAAAGCGUGGGGAGCGAACAGG
This 253-nucleotide ribosomal RNA is filed under the name uncultured bacterium. RNAcentral's name for it is "partial 16S ribosomal RNA". It matches the Rfam family "Bacterial small subunit ribosomal RNA", at positions 524 to 776 of the family's 1533-position model. The record is from RNAcentral.